GAUGAACGCUGGCGGCGUGCCUAAUACAUGCAAGUCGAGCGAACAGAUGAGGAGCUUGCUCCUCUGACGUUAGCGGCGGACGGGUGAGUAACACGUGGAUAACCUACCUAUAAGACUGGGAUAAUUUCGGGAAACCGGAGCUAAUACCGGAUAAUAUAUUGAACCGCAUGGUUCAAUAGUGAAAGACGGUUUUGCUGUCACUUAUAGAUGGAUCCGCGCCGCAUUAGCUAGUUGGUAAGGUAACGGCUUACCAAGGCAACGAUGCGUAGCCGACCUGAGAGGGUGGUCGGCCACACUGGAACUGAGACAGAGCCCAGACUCCUGCGGGAGGCAGCAGUAGGGAAUCUUCCGCAAGGGGCGAAAGCCUGACGGAGCGACGCCGCGUGAGUGCUGAAGGUGUUCGGAUCGGAAAACUCUGUUAUUAGUGGAGAACAAAUGUGUAAGUAACUAUGCACGUCUUGACGGUACCUGAUCAGAAAGCCACGGCUAACUACGUG
RNAcentral lists this ribosomal RNA (497 nucleotides) under uncultured bacterium. RNAcentral describes it as "partial 16S ribosomal RNA". It matches the Rfam family "Bacterial small subunit ribosomal RNA", at positions 28 to 507 of the family's 1533-position model. The record is from RNAcentral.